This 492-nucleotide ribosomal RNA is filed under the name uncultured bacterium. RNAcentral's name for it is "partial 16S ribosomal RNA". It matches the Rfam family "Bacterial small subunit ribosomal RNA", at positions 29 to 507 of the family's 1533-position model. The record is from RNAcentral.
AGUGAACGCUGGUGGUAGGCCUAACACAUGCAAGUCGAACGGCAGCACAGUAAGAGCUUGCUCUUACGGGUGGCGAGUGGCGGACGGGUGAGGAAUACAUCGGAAUCUACUUUUUCGUGGGGGAUAACGUAGGGAAACUUACGCUAAUACCGCAUACGACCUACGGGUGAAAGCAGGGGAUCUUCGGACCUUGCGCGAUUGAAUGAGCCGAUGCCGGAUUAGCUAGUUGGCGGGGUAAAGGCCCACCAAGGCAACGAUCCGUAGCUGGUCUGAGAGGAUGAUCAGCCACACUGGAACUGAGACACGGUCCAGACUCCUACGGGAGGCAGCAGUGGGGAAUAUUGGACAAUGGGCGCAAGCCUGAUCCAGCCAUACCGCGUGGGUGAAGAAGGCCUUCGGGUUGUAAAGCCCUUUUGUUGGGAAAGAAAAGCAGCAGGUUAAUACCCCGCUGUUCUGACGGUACCCAAAGAAUAAGCACCGGCUAACUUCGUG